This 273-nucleotide non-coding RNA is filed under the name Phascolarctos cinereus (koala). Lineage: Eukaryota; Metazoa; Chordata; Mammalia; Diprotodontia; Phascolarctidae. The record is from RNAcentral.
ACUGAGUAUGGCGGUGCACUCGAAAGGCUGAGAUUGGUGGAUCACUUGAGCUCUGGAGUUCUGAGCUGCACUGGACUUGACUGAUUUGUUGUGUGCACUAAGCCUAACAACAAUAUGGUGAACCCCUUGGAAGUAGGGGCCACCAGGGUGCCUAUGGAGGAGCAAAACUGGCCCAGAUCAGAAAUGGAAGAGAUUGAUGCUCCUGUAUUAACCAGUAAUAGAAUCGGGCCCUUGAGUGACCAGUACAAUUCUAGCCUAAGUGAGAUAGGAUCU